UUUCCAUGAAAACGUUUAAUGUUUACUUUAAAAAAAAAUGUAUUUUUGCUCGUUUUGCUGCAAAGUCUUAUUAACCAUCUGACAGUUACGUGUAUUUAGUUAGAAGCCGUAGGCGCAGUAAUCCUUACACUUUGUAUUGUGUUUUCUGAUAUUACAGUUGCCAUUACAUUAAAAGGAACAUUGUUUUAUAAACCAAAUUGUAAACAUGGAUCCCCGUUUAAAAGCGGCUUUGCUUUUUCAAGACAAAAUUAUACGGCGGUGCACACUACCAUGCCGGGACAAGGUACAUUGUCACCCGGACUUGGCUUCCUCCCUACAACUGUGAGCCACUUCAAUCCCUUCCUAACCACACGUAUAUCCCCACGAAAGCAAGUUGCUCUUGUUAAUAAAGGCUGGUGGAACGACGGACUGAUGCAUUCUGACCGAUGCACACUCAGGGCUCAUAACGCCAUAAGCAAGCAACAUUAAUAGGCGGCACCUCCUUCUUCACAAGUCCCUCUAAUGAUUAAAAUGCAUCAGCAGCUGCAAAGCUAUUCACAAUCGGACGUGCCAUCAUCACCCACCUUCACACACAGACUGGGGAGCCCCUUUCAGUCCAGGCAGGAGACCAACACUGAGUCCCGAUAAGUGCCAGGCGAUGCACGCUCCGGUUAGUACUGAGUUCUCCCCCUUCCUUUAGGCCACUUAAAAAAAAAAAUUGGUUCUCGUCCCCUCCCGACCC
This is a long non-coding RNA of Brienomyrus brachyistius, 721 nucleotides long. RefSeq lists it as uncharacterized. The transcript is spliced from 3 exons. The record is from RefSeq and is a predicted model, not a curated record. NCBI's taxonomy places the organism in Eukaryota, Metazoa, Chordata, Actinopteri, Osteoglossiformes, Mormyridae.